AUCUUUGCGCUUGUGGCAAUGACGUAGCUAGUAAAGUUUUAAUUCGAAGCGCGUCUAUUAAUGGUUGAAAACUAUUUUUAGACCUCCAUAGCCUAGGGUUCUAAAAGGACUCCCUUAUGCAUGAAGUUUUGAAAGAAAAAUUGUCAU
Medicago truncatula (barrel medic) is the source of this 147-nucleotide small nuclear RNA. RefSeq annotates it as U4 spliceosomal RNA. The record is from RefSeq and is a predicted model, not a curated record. The transcript has a single exon. Lineage: Eukaryota; Viridiplantae; Streptophyta; Magnoliopsida; Fabales; Fabaceae.